UUCACGCCCAUGAGAUUGGCAAAAAUUAAAUGCUGCGAUAACCAAGUGUUGGUAAGGUUGUGGUUACAUACUGCUAGUGGGAAUGUAACUGGACCCAGCCACCUUGGAGAGCAGUAUAGUGAUGUCCAGUUGAAGGAGGGCAAAC
MicroRNA precursor from Equus asinus (donkey), 145 nucleotides. Lineage: Eukaryota; Metazoa; Chordata; Mammalia; Perissodactyla; Equidae. The record is from Ensembl.